GCCACCGUGCUGGCCAUCGUCGCCUACGCCGUUCUCCUCGACUCCGCCGAGUCCAAGAAAGUCAAAGAGAAUGGGAGACGACUACAGCGAAGACGGCCCCCACUCGAAAGAUUAACGUCUACUGCAAGGACAAGGACUGCCUCG
Molecule: long non-coding RNA, 144 nt
Organism: Ixodes scapularis (black-legged tick)
Lineage: Eukaryota; Metazoa; Arthropoda; Arachnida; Ixodida; Ixodidae
Exons: 3
Source: RefSeq, a predicted model, not a curated record